UCGGUCCUCGGUAGUGGCCCCCGGAACCCGCCUCGAGCGGGAAGACCGUGAGCCUCGAUCGAAGACCG
RNAcentral lists this non-coding RNA (68 nucleotides) under uncultured Oerskovia sp. The record is from RNAcentral. Lineage: Bacteria; Bacillati; Actinomycetota; Actinomycetes; Micrococcales; Cellulomonadaceae.